Molecule: non-coding RNA, 7353 nt
Organism: Podarcis lilfordi (Lilford's wall lizard)
Lineage: Eukaryota; Metazoa; Chordata; Lepidosauria; Squamata; Lacertidae
Source: the annotation of a GenBank genome assembly
CCCAUCUGACUGGGUUUCCCCAGCCACUCUGGGCAGCUUCCAACAAAGACCAAAAAUACACUAAAAUCUCACACAUUAAAAACUUCCCUGAACAGGGUUACAGGUAUGUAACCCGAGGUACCACUGUAAUUGUUUAUCUCUUUGACAUCUGAUGAGUGGGCGUUCCACGGGGCGGGUGCCACUACCGAGAAGGCCCUCUGCCUGGUUCCCUGUAGAGUUCUGUCAAUCUCAGGUCCUGCUUUCGGGCUUCCGAGUGGCAUUUGUUGGCCACUGUGUGUAGCAGGAUGCUGGACUCAGUGGGCCACUGGCCUGAUUCUGCAGGGAUUGUCUGAGGUGCUUCUGCAAGGCCACAGGUCAGCCCUGCUCAGCUGCUAGUGGCAUUCAUCCACAAACCACAACAUUGCAGGUGUGUGUGAAGGGGCCCUGGCAGCUUACCCCACAUGACGGAUCGGGAAAAGUGCCAGCACACACACUGACUGCAUUGCUCAUUCUCAGGACCUGUGCAACUCACAGUUCUCUUCUCCAGAGACGCGCAGAGAUCUUUGAGCAUCUGUAAAAGUCGUGCGUAGAAGCAUUUGAAACAAACAUGCAUUUCUGAACUGGAUCGAGAAGCUAGAAACCACAAGGGUUUGUGCUUUCUUUCUUAUUUUAUAGAAAUGAUAAAGUAUCAGAGGAGCGAGUGAGUCACGCUUCCUUUCUCUGAGUGCGUUCUUCCCCUUGUGCGAUCUGCAGCAAGCCACUGAGGUGUUGAGAAGUUGGGGUCAGGGUUUUCCAAGACGGGGAGUACUCUCCGCUUCCGAAUGAAGAAUCCAGCAAGCGUGGGCCCAGGCAAAAGGGCAAGCAGAUCGGGUUGGGGGGCGAAACCUUAACUUUCUGACCUUCCUGUUGACCUUGUAUGGAAAGGUGAAAACAAAUGAGCAUCAGAGGCGAGAAUUGGGGGGCCCAAAAGAGGCAGGCUCCCCCUCUAGCACAAUAAACAAGCACAGAGAAUUGCAGUUGCACCCUUUAUUUUGCAGGCUGGAAGGGGUUUGCUGUUCCUUGUUUGACGGCACUCCUGGGAAAUGUUUUUAAAUUGUUUGUUUGUUUUAUAUACCGCCCUUCAUCAAAAGAUCUCAGGGUGGUUCCCAAGAUAAAAACACAAAUAGUUGAAGCAAAAAACAACAAAACAGUAUACACCCCCAUAAACACAUUUAAAAGGCUGUGGAGUAUUACUUAGGGGGGGCGUCAUUUUGCUCACUGGCCGCCCUUUGGGAGGGAUGGAGGGUUCCGAUGAUGGAGCCCACGGGGUCUUUCACAGAUGAAGACCCUCAUGCACACAAGGGGAGAACGAGGUCAUACCCACUGGUCACGCACUCCACUGCCUCUGUGCCCACUGCCUGUGCCCUCACCCCACUGGCCAGCUAAGCUCAGCGUGUACAGCUGUUGGGAUGUGUCCAAGGGAAUGGGGGCAUCAGGCAGGCCCCCAGCUGGCUCCAGCCCACCGGCCAACAGCUGGGCAAACUCUGGUCUCCCUUGGAAGAGCAUCAAAACAUCGGCACACAGCUUCAGAAGCCUUCAGAAACUUGAGCACGCCUUAAGCAGUGAAUCUCACGCAACAGAAGCGGCGGACAGAGGCAUAUGUAAAGCGUAUUUACAAGCAUUUUAUUCAGCAUCAGGUCAAAGGAAAAACAUGUCUGCUCCCCUUCGUGUCCAAGCAGCAGGAAGCACAAAGCAAAAGCAAUUCACAAACAGAAGUUCCCAGCAAGCUGUGCUGGAAUGUAAACAGACAUGUGACAUAUAACAGCUCCACACAUCUGUUUUGGUGGAACGGAACAUCAGUAUCCUAACAACAGCUUGCUCCUUCCCCAUUUGCACUGAAUGCAUAUGGUGGCCGUGGGGGUCUGGCCAGCAGCAGUCCCUCCCUCUGUUGCUGGGAGACAUGACCAGAGUGUGCAGUCUGUCUGUCUGUCUGUCUCUCUCUCUUAUGUGUUCACUAAGCACUUUAUGGGAUUUCUGCGCCGACUGCUCACUUUGAGACUUUGCAAGCUCAGUCGGUACAGCAUGAGACUCUUAAUCUCAAGGCUGUGGGUUCGAGCCCUGCCCUGGGCAAAAGAUUCCUGCAUUGCAGGGCAGGGGCUUGAGACUCGAUGACCCCUGUGGUCCCUUCCAGCUCUACAGUUCUAUGAUCCUGUGCUUAUCCCUUGCUCCAUUUGAGAAUUAUAACUGGUUGGGCACCUUACGAAAUGCACUCUUGAGCAUUGGCUCUGUGCCAGAAGGUAGGCAGUUAGUUUGUAGAGAGUAUAGGAUUCUAGAGUUGGAAGGGAGAUCCUGUGGAUCAUCUGGUCCAACCCCUUGCAAUGUAGGAAUAUGCAGCUGUCCCAAACGGGGAUCAAACCUGCAACUGUAGUGUUAUCAGCACCGUGCGCUAACCAACUGAGCUAUCCAGCUGAGUCCAGUCCAUCCAACCCUCUGCCUUUUGCAAACUUUUCUCGACACAAACUCCUUGCAAAGUUGUUCACUUAUUCAAUUGCAUUGCCUUCACUUCCUGUGUCAUCGUCUACAAUUGUAUUCCAGAGUCAAGGUUAUGUAAUUAGAAGACAGAAGAGGCCAGAAUAGAAGAACAGGAUUGCUUCUUUGCUUCUUAUGUCAGAGGUUUUCAACCUUUUAAAGUCCACAGCUUUUCUUUCUGUGGCACCCCUGUGGGGCUCAGGAGCCAAGUUGUGUCACCCGUUGCCUGAAGAGAUGACAGCCUCACCCUUUUUUGAACACCCUCUCUUGGGAAGUGUCCCCUCAGCCUCCUCUCCUCUCCUCUUGGGAGUCCUCCAGGCAGCUGCUGCUGCCGUCUCUGGUCUCUGAGCUGCCCCCCUCUGUCCCUAAAAGGGGUGCCUUCCGGAAGCACCAUUCGCCUGGGGAGCUUGUAGUUGGGGCUGCUGCAACAAACAGCUGUGCAAGCCUUUGGGAGGCAGAGAUGUGAGAGGGCAUAAGAGGAAGGCGGGAAGGAAAGUGUUACCAGCGGCACCCCGACCAUCCUUCAAGGCAGCCCAGGGUGCCACGACACAUUGGUUGAAAGCCACUGUCUUAGGCUGUUGGCUCUUAGGCUGCUCUUCUGUAUGCUUUUUCGGGUUUUAGCUGGGACCUGCCCCAGCAGCCGUGAAAGUUGCACGGCAAUUCAUCUGACAAAAACAUGACUCAGUUCGGUACUCGGCUUGGGCGUUACACCAGCCUGCAUAAAAUGAAAGUAUUAUUCUGCCCUCACACCUUUGCAUAAUUCAUCUAACUUAACUGGGCUGGGCUAGCGGUUGCACAAGUAAAUUUUUUAUCAUUUCCGCAAGAAGCGCAGGACAAAAACACUCUGCACCUUUCAAACCGCGAGCUCCUGCUGGUUUCCAUUUGCUGAUUCUGACUGUGGGUGGGAUGUGUGUGUGAGAGAGAGAGAGAGGGGGGGGAACUUAAUACAAAUGGAAGCCGAGUUUAGAAUUUCCUCCAGUCAUGCGACACUGCCUUACGCAGAGUGAGAGCCUUGAUCCUUCUAGCCCAGAAUUCGUCAACCUGGUGCCCUCCAGAUGCGUUGGACUUCAGCUUCUACCAGCUGGGAGUUGUGGUCCAAAACAGCCGAUUGACCUCCAGGUGGACUACAACUCCCAUCACCCCUGACCGUCGUCAAUUCAGACUGGGGCUGAUGGGAGUUGGAGUGCAACAGUAUCUAGAGGACCACAGGUGGUUUGCCCCGAUUCCAGGAGGACUGCCUCCCCAAGUGCCCCCAAAAUGAGAUUGCUGGCUGCUGACCUUCCAUGUGCUUAUCUGUCUCGAUCUUGAUCUCUCUACAUACAUGCUGGUACAGUCAUACCUCAUGUUGCGUCCGCUUCAGGUUGCGGACAGCCGAAACCCGGAAGUACCGGAACGGGUUACUUCUGGGUUUUGGCAGUCGCGCAUGAGCAGAAGCAUUAAAUCGUGUUUUGCACAUUUGCAGAAGCGCCGAAUCGCAACCUGUGUGUGCGCAAAUGCGGGUUGCGAAUGUGCAUCAUUCAUGGAUCACUUUCGCAACCGAAGCAUCCACUGUAUUUGUAAAUAAUAAUUUUUCAAAUGACUUAUGGAUUUGGCCACUGUUGCAGGGGCCAAGCUCCGUUUAUGUUUGUGGUGUCCAGUUAAAAACUGCUAUUUAAAAUGUGACUUUAGCUACGUGUCACUGAUGUGAAUUUUGCAUUAGUUCAUGCGUUUCGACAAAACAAAUAGAAAAUGCGACCAAAUUUUUUUGGGUGGGGGGGAAAUGGGGGACAUCUUGAGACUAGAUAUUCUGUUGUGGCACCUGUAGCCCAGGUUUCAGGAGCUGUCUGGCAAAUAUCUCACCUGUCUGAAUUUCUGUACAUUUCGGCUUCGGCCUUCAUGGUCCGGCAGAGGAUAUUUAUCCUUGCGAGACUCUCUCUCUCUCGUGAACAAGCCGCUCAGUGCUUCAGCGCUUCAGUUACCCAUGCUAAGCUCUCCAAACACGGAAGGUUUUCCGGGACACUCCCUUGUCGACCUUCGAAGAAAUUGAGCGACAGGCACGUUGCGCCUUUGCUGAAUCAAGGCUGCUGACUGGGAGAUAAGCAUCUCUCAUUAACCAAAGGCGGAAAUUAAUAAAUGGCUGCAAACCUCUGGGUGAGAGCUAUAUUUACACUGUCAGCGCAGCAGGUUUAGAAACUACUUCACAACUCUGAUGUGUGCAAGGGGAAAAGCAACCAGACACCGACAGAGUGCAGGCACAAACUGUAGCCCUGAAGACUCAAAUUCUGUGGCUGGGGUUUUUAUGUCCGUUUAAGCAUGGGUGCCUAAACAUUCGCGAGCUGCAUAAGCAGCUCAGGGUACAAGAAUUGGAGUUCUGCUGAAUUUUGGUGCGCUGACUCAUACAGUGCAUCUAUUUCUGUGUAUGCUUAACGGUUAUUUAGCUUCAGGUAGAUCUGACGCAGUCGAGAUAAAUAAAAAUAAAAUAAAAAAUUGUCCAGUAGCACCUUAGAGACCAACUAAGUCUAUUCUGGGUAUAAGCUUUUGUGUGCAUGCACACUUCUUCAGAUACACUGAAGUGUGGGAGGGUGGGGUGAGGUUUUUUCUCAGAAGGAUAGUAGGAGAUGGGUGAUUGACUCAAUGGGUAUGGUAAACCUGUUGAUGACUGUAAACAGGUUAACAAGUUAUUUAGCUGCGGGAGGCAGUGGAAGACGGGAGUGCCUGGCGUGCUCUGGUCCAUGGGGUCACAAAGAGUCGGACACGACUAAAUGACUUAACAACAACAACAAAAACAACAUAGAAUUGUAAGCUGGAAGGGAUCCCAAGCGUCUUCUAAGUCCAACCCCCUGCAAUGCAAGAAUCUCAACUAGAUCAUAAAUAACAGAUGGCCAUCCAGUCUCUGCUUAAAAACCACCAAGGAAGGAGAGUUCACCACCUCUCAUUGGAGCCUGUUGUACUGUUUAACACAGGGUUUCCCAAACUUGAAUCUCCAGCUGUUUGUGGACUACAGUUCCCAUCAUCUCUGACCGCUGGUCUUGUUAGCUAAGGAUGAUGGGAAUUAUAGUCCAAAAACAGCUGGAGACCCAAAUUUGAGAGACUCUGGUUUCACAGAUAUUUUAAACGUGCAUAAACAAAUGGUGGUUGAUACGGUUUCAGAUAUGGAACUUGACUUUUCAGAGUCAUAAAGAACCAUCCUAAUUACCAGCAAAGAAAAUCCUGUUGUUUACAGUGCAUAGAGUGUAAACCAAAAUAUGACAGACCAUAAAUUUGGCAUCCCAAACAUGACGUCCUCCAUGUUUUGGACCUCAACCUUCAUGAUCCUCAUCAUUGGCCAGGCUAAUGGGAACUGAAGUCCAACAAAACCUGGAGUUCCCCAUCCCAGCUAUAGAGAACAUAGCACUUUUCAAAUCGUCCUCAUUGCAAGGGGAGGCAGGAUUAGGGGCAGUAAAUCCAUGUGGUUUUAUCACCAACACCAUCAUUUGUUUACUUAAUUGAAUUUUUUUUUGCCUGCCCUUUACAAUACGAACCUAGGGUAAGUAAUUGAAAUUUAGAGGCGCCAUAUUGAAAACAGCUUAAAAUUAUUUGCACACGUUGUCUUGGGGAAUCGUACAAAAGGUGUACAAUGCACAGAGAUUGUGGAAAUAAGCAUAGGGAAUGUAAAAGCCAUAGUGAAUCAUCUUCUAUUUAUACUAUUUAUCUUCUAUUUUCUACCCAAAGCAGCUCACAACAUUUCGAAGAAUAGUCAUUCAAUUUAAUCAAACGUCAGCCUUAUACAGAUGUUACGCUUGCAAUUUGAGUAAGGUUCGUGGGUAGGUUGGGGCAGAGUUUGUGGCCAUGUGUCCUGCUGUCGCCCACCCCCCAGAACACAUGUUCAGUGUACAUUUAUAUAGGAAGUUGCCUUGAGUUAUGGUAAAUUAUGUUGGUUAUGGGUAGAGCAACAAAAUUAUGCUGGAGCUCCACUCCCUGAAAUUUUGCUUGUACCUCCUUCUGCUUUCCCCCCUCAGCUGUUCACUGGGCAUUUAAUUUAUUUCCAGUCCCUUGAGGACCAGAAACCUGUUCUUUUUAAAAUAAAAAUCAAAAAUCGUCUUUCCCUGGGUGUCAAAUUUCUGAACCUGACACAGAUUUCUGUAAUUUCUGUGGCAAACAGCGCCGACACAAAAAAUAUUACUUCACCCCCCUCAAUGUGUGUCUCUCUGUGUGUGUCUGUGUGGUAGUUUUAGACACAUCGAUUCCUCAACAUGCAUGGCUUCCUCUGGGGAGAGAAAUAAUGGAUGCAGCAGUCUUUCAGGGGAGGAAAACGCAACGACUGCAUAGAAAUCUACCUCGUAUGCCUUCAGCCAGUUAAGGUUAUUGUGGGGGUGGUUCUGUGCUUUUGAUUUAGCUUUCAAGAAAUGGUUCAGUAAACUCUCAGUGAAAGCUUUUUUUAAAAAAAAAAUAAGGGCAAACAGAGUAGUAGUACAGGAAAAUCCAGCCGAUACGAUUGCUAUGUAGUUUUUGGUGGGGUUUUUUAUUUAUUUAAAAAAAGCAUAUCUCCUCCCCCGGACUUUCAGAAGUGUAGUGGGUUACCUUUUGAUCUUGCUGUUCCUAGGGUGGAGGUGAAGAUUGAGGUGGAAAUGUGAGCAAUGCUCUUCUGUGAGAAUUUAAGAGGGGGAGGCCAGCAUCGUGUGAACUCGCUCCUCUGGGGAACUCCUUGGGGAUGCCCUCAUCUCACAGAUAACACCUGAGGCGAGGGUUUUGUUUUUUUUCAGAGGUCAUGCUUUUAAAAACCCACACGUGCCCAAACCCACCCACGGUUUAUUGGAAGUUGCAGAAGACCAGUGAACUGAAAGGUUUCACCUUCCUGGGGGUGUGAGCUUGAAAAAUAUUAUAUUAAUAAGGGGAUUCACCCCCUCC